Non-coding RNA from Microcebus murinus (gray mouse lemur), 1000 nucleotides. The record is from RefSeq and is a predicted model, not a curated record. NCBI's taxonomy places the organism in Eukaryota, Metazoa, Chordata, Mammalia, Primates, Cheirogaleidae.
AAAAAAAGAAGAAGAGGAGAAAAAGAAGGUUUGACUUUAAAAAGCAAAUCCAUUAUAUGUAUAAUCAAAGCUAAACUGGAACCAUUAUAAAAUCAGUGUAUACUCUAUGAUAAAUGGAUCAUCACAGACUAAAAGCUGCAAAUAUUGAAAGGAGAAAAUGAUUAAAUUAAAAAAAAAAAAGAAAAAAGGUUACACAACUUUCUUAGGUACAGAACUAGGGCAGCCAGGCAGGGAGCAGGAUUCUAUGACCACUAAGUCCCAUAGAACCCUCCAUUCUGUGUUUACACUACAGUCUUAAAUUACUAAUAAACCCAUAGCAACAUCAGUAGCUUUGAGUCAGAGCUAACAGACUCAAAGUGUAGCACUACAGAUGGAUGGCCAUAGCUGAAUUAAGAAUGCAAAUGGCACCUGGGAAGCUCAAGAUACAGACUCCCUGGGUCUAAGAAUAACUGCUGAAGAUUUCUUUCUUCUCUUCCCCACACCCAGCCUGCUAUAACCUUAAACUUCUGCCUCACCAGACCUGCUCCUCACCUUGUGUCUCAGGCGUGGUGACAGAAAGAGGAAGAAAGAACAAGUUGCAACAAAACUGACUCCCACAUGUCAGGAUCCCUACUGGAUUGAAUCCCUUCUCCACAAACCAACGAUAAGCAGCCCAAUCUCUGGUUUACUGGAGGAGAGUAAGGACUUUCUGUUCACCUGUUGGACGAUUACAAAAACCAUUCAUGGAAAACGAAGGGAGAAGCAGGCAUGAGAAAAACCACCAAAAUGACCAGAUUGACUAACAUCUUGAGAUUUUUUUAAAAACCUCUUUCCAUACAGAAGGAUGUCAUUCGUCCUGUAGCACGGGGGUGAGGUGUGUAUUUCCAAGAAAGGAGAUCACAACUUCACUGGGCUCCCGAUACACUCAGCUAUCGAAUCUACAGUGGACUCUUGAAUUCAAAAGUUCGUCCCAAGGUCUAACCUCCAGCCUCUGUUUUGGCCAAGUAAGCCCUCAUCCCUU